This 847-nucleotide ribosomal RNA is filed under the name uncultured fungus. RNAcentral's name for it is "SSU rRNA". It matches the Rfam family "Eukaryotic small subunit ribosomal RNA", at positions 564 to 1448 of the family's 1831-position model. Lineage: Eukaryota; Fungi. The record is from RNAcentral.
GUGCCAGCAGCCGCGGUAAUUCCAGCUCCAAUAGCGUAUAUUAAAGUUGUUGUGGUUAAAAAGCUCGUAGUUGAACCUUGGGCCUGGCUGGCCGGUCCGCCUCACCGCGUGCACUGGUCCGGCCGGGCCUUUCCCUCUGUGGAACCCCAUACCCUUCACUGGGCGUGGCGGGGAAACAGGACAUUUACUUUGAAAAAAUUAGAGUGCUCCAGGCAGGCCUAUGCUCGAAUACAUUAGCAUGGAUAAUAAAAUAGGACGCGCGGUUCUAUUUUGUUGGUUUAUAGGAUCGCCGUAAUGAUUAAUAGGGACAGUCGGGGGCAUCAGUAUUCAACUGUCAGAGGUGAAAUUCUUGGAUCAGUUGAAGACUAACUACUGCGAAAGCAUUUGCCAAGGAUGUUUUCAUUAAUCAGGAACGAAAGUUAGGGGAUCGAAGACAAUCAGAUACCGUCGUAGUCUUAACCAUAAACUAUGCCGACUAGGGAUCGGACGGUGUUAUUCAUGACCCGUUCGGCACCUUACGAGAAAUCAAAGUGCUUGGGCUCCAGGGGGAGUAUGGUCGCAAGGCUGAAACUUAAAGAAAUUGACGGAAGGGCACCACCAGGGGUGGAGCCUGCGGCUUAAUUUGACUCAACACGGGGAAACUCACCAGGUCCAGACACAAUAAGGAUUGACAGAUUGAGAGCUCUUUCUUGAUUUUGUGGGUGGUGGUGCAUGGCCGUUCUUAGUUGGUGGGGUGACUUGUCUGCUUAAUUGCGAUACGAACGAGACCUACCUGCUAAAUAGCCCGCAUUGCUCCGGCAGUGCGCUGGCUUCUAGAGGGACUUUCGGCUCAAGCCGGAAGGAAGGU